Molecule: unclassified non-coding RNA, 316 nt
Filed under: plant metagenome
Description: partial contains 5.8S ribosomal RNA, internal transcribed spacer 2, and large subunit ribosomal RNA
Rfam family: 5.8S ribosomal RNA (bases 1-105)
Source: RNAcentral
GAAAUGCGAUAACUAGUGUGAAUUGCAGAAUUCCGUGAAUCAUCGAGUCUUUGAACGCACAUUGCGCCCCCUGGUAUUCCGGGGGGCAUGCCUGUCCGAGCGUCAGUGCUGCCCAUCAAGCACGGCUUGUGUGUUGGGUCGUCGUCCCCUCUCCGGGGGGGACGGGCCCCAAAGGCAGCGGCGGCACCGCGUCCGAUCCUCGAGCGUAUGGGGCUUUGUCACCCGCUCUGUAGGCCCGGCCGGCGCUUGCCGAACGCAAAUCAAUCUUUUUCCAGGUUGACCUCGGAUCAGGUAGGGAUACCCGCUGAACUUAAGC